RNAcentral lists this long non-coding RNA (254 nucleotides) under Elaeis guineensis (African oil palm). Its description in RNAcentral is "long non-coding RNA (EGUI_LNC061228)". Lineage: Eukaryota; Viridiplantae; Streptophyta; Magnoliopsida; Arecales; Arecaceae. The record is from RNAcentral.
AGUACGAGAUUUAUUUUUCACACUUUUAAUUUUUAUUUUUUGAUUUAAAUUACUUUCAUCAAAAUUUUAUUUUAUUUUUAUAAAAUUAAAGAUUUUAAAUCAAAAUCUUAUCUUUUCUAUGGAUUUGACCUAACUCACUAUUUUUUUAUAUAUAUUUAAUUUUUAUUGAAGUCAGAAUUAAAUUUGAUAAGCAUGAUGUCCUAAUGACAACAUCGCGAGCCUAUCAAAUUUUUGGCACCAUUAUCGGAGAGGGC